CUGUGGGGGGAGGAGUCCCGCGGCGGUAAGAGCCAGGAGCCGCCUAGCUUGGGUAGCGGCGUGAAGAGUAAUCGACACGCUGAAGCCUACCGACAAAGCCCUCUCUGCCAAUAUGAGUGAGACACUUACCCGCCUUGAGUUUAGUGUAGGAUAGGGGGCGAGUAAGGAUGCGCACACACAGCCGGG
Deltaproteobacteria bacterium is the source of this 186-nucleotide non-coding RNA. The record is from Rfam. NCBI's taxonomy places the organism in Bacteria, Pseudomonadati, Myxococcota, Myxococcia.